UGGGGAAUUUUGGACAAUGGGCGAAAGCCUGAUCCAGCAAUGCCGCGUGUGUGAAGAAGGCCUUCGGGUUGUAAAGCACUUUUGUCCGGAAAGAAAUCCUUGGCUCUAAUACAGUCGGGGGAUGACGGUACCGGAAGAAUAAGCACCGGCUAACUACGUGCCAGCAGCCGCGGUAAUACGUAGGGUGCAAGCGUUAAUCGGAAUUACUGGGCGUAAAGCGUGCGCAGGCGGUUUGCUAAGACCGAUGUGAAAUCCCCGGGCUCAACCUGGGAACUGCAUUGGUGACUGGCAGGCUAGAGUAUGGCAGAGGGGGGUAGAAUUCCACGUGUAGCAGUGAAAUGCGUAGAGAUGUGGAGGAAUACCGAUGGCGAAGGCAGCCCCCUGGGCCAAUACUGACGCUCAUGCACGAAAGCGUGGAGAGCAAACAGGAUUAGAUACCCUGGUAGUCCACGCCCUAAACGAUGUCAACUAGUUGUUGGGGCAUUCAUUUUCCUUAGUAACGUAGCUAACGCGUGAAGUUGACCGCCUGGGGAGUACGGUCGCAAGAUUAAAACCUCAAAGGAAUUGACGGGGUCAUAGCUGUUU
Molecule: ribosomal RNA, 585 nt
Filed under: uncultured bacterium
Lineage: Bacteria
Description: partial 16S ribosomal RNA
Rfam family: Bacterial small subunit ribosomal RNA
Source: RNAcentral